Molecule: transfer RNA, 72 nt
Filed under: Stegodyphus mimosarum
Lineage: Eukaryota; Metazoa; Arthropoda; Arachnida; Araneae; Eresidae
Rfam family: tRNA
About the family: Transfer RNA (tRNA) molecules are approximately 80 nucleotides in length. Their secondary structure includes four short double-helical elements and three loops (D, anti-codon, and T loops).
Source: Rfam by way of RNAcentral
GGCAGCGGUGGGACAGACUGGUUUGAGACACCAGUCUCUUCGGAGGCGUGGGUUCGAAUCCCACCGCUGCCA